RNAcentral lists this ribosomal RNA (463 nucleotides) under uncultured bacterium. RNAcentral describes it as "partial 16S ribosomal RNA". It matches the Rfam family "Bacterial small subunit ribosomal RNA", at positions 339 to 795 of the family's 1533-position model. The record is from RNAcentral.
CUACGGGAUGCAGCAGUCGAGAAUCUUUCGCAAUGGGCGAAAGCCUGACGAAGCGACGCCGUGUGAGCGAAGAAGGCCUUCGGGUUGUAAAGCUAUUUCGCUUGGGAACAAGAAAGGCGGAUGAAUAAUCCGCCAAUUUGAGGGUACCAGGUAAAGAAGCACCGGCUAACUCCGUGCCAGCAGCUGCGGUAAUACGGAGGGUGCAAGCAUUAAUCGGAAUUAUUGGGUGUAAAGGGCGCGUAGGCGGAUCGUUAAGUCAAACGUGAAAUUCUGAAGCUCACCUUCAGAGCUGCGUUUGAACUGGUGGUCUAGAGGAUUGGAGGAGAAAACGGAAUUCCACAUGUAGCGGUGAAAUGCGUGGAUAUGUGGAAGAACACCGGUGGCGAAAGCGGUUUUCUAGUUUAUUCCUGACGCUGAGGCGCGAAAGCGAGGGGAGCAAACAGGAUUAGAUACCCUGGUAGUC